GGUAGAACCGAGUUCAAAUCCCUAAGGGGUGGGCUCUAAGAAACCAGGGCUACAAACAAAAGUAGAACUGAUUUUGGAACAUAAAUCACCCAUUUUGCCAAAUAAGAACUCUUCAGACAUUCCCUGAGGCAGGGGACACAGAGACUCGUAGAAAACCGAGGCUGGAGUUUGAUGGAUUAUCCCGGGAAAGGGCCUGGGAACUGUUGCCUCAAAGCUCCUUCCGCGCAUGUGCAGCUCCUCUUCAUUGUUCGACCGCGGCUCCUCUCUCCAGCCUCUCAAUGGCAGACAAUCCCGUCGCCUUCGCUUCUUUGCGUCGCUCAGUGACCCGGCUCUGAAGGAAGGGCGUGGUGUGCACUACAGCUCUCUAUGCUUUUUCAGAGGCAGAAGAGAAUGAACAUAUCCCAGGUGAGUUGUUUACCUCUUACCCCAGGUAUGCAGCAAAUUGUAAGACUAACUUUGCAUUUUUGUUGACCAACCUUCCUUGUCGGUUGUUUUUCAUCAUUUGUUAAUUUCCUGACCUUUCCCCUGCAGUUUACUUAACUUACCUUUUUCUUCAUCCAGUGAAUGAAGUCUGCAUUUUAUUUUUACUCUAUUAUUCCUUUCCCCAG
Molecule: long non-coding RNA, 608 nt
Filed under: Fukomys damarensis (Damara mole-rat)
Lineage: Eukaryota; Metazoa; Chordata; Mammalia; Rodentia; Bathyergidae
Description: lncRNA (ENSFDAG00000030678.1)
Source: RNAcentral